RNAcentral lists this ribosomal RNA (179 nucleotides) under uncultured bacterium. Its description in RNAcentral is "partial 16S ribosomal RNA". It matches the Rfam family "Bacterial small subunit ribosomal RNA", at positions 1335 to 1511 of the family's 1533-position model. The record is from RNAcentral.
UGACUGACUGAGUGCCAGCAGCCGCGGUGAAUACGUUCCCGGGCCUUGUACACACCGCCCGUCACACCAUGAGAGUCUGUAACACCCAAAGCCGGUGGGAUAACCUUUAUAGGAGUCAGCCGUCUAAGGUAGGACAGAUGAUUAGGGUGAAGUCGUAACAAGGUAGCCUCAGUCAGUCA